RNAcentral lists this ribosomal RNA (301 nucleotides) under Ehrlichia canis. Its description in RNAcentral is "bacterial SSU rRNA". It matches the Rfam family "Bacterial small subunit ribosomal RNA", at positions 81 to 400 of the family's 1533-position model. Lineage: Bacteria; Pseudomonadati; Pseudomonadota; Alphaproteobacteria; Rickettsiales; Anaplasmataceae. The record is from RNAcentral.
UAGGAAAUUGUUAGUGGCAGACGGGUGAGUAAUGCGUAGGAAUCUACCUAGUAGUACGGAAUAGCCAUUAGAAAUGGUGGGUAAUACUGUAUAAUCCCCGAGGGGGAAAGAUUUAUCGCUAUUAGAUGAGCCUACGUUAGAUUAGCUAGUUGGUGAGGUAAUGGCUUACCAAGGCUAUGAUCUAUAGCUGGUCUGAGAGGACGAUCAGCCACACUGGAACUGAGAUACGGUCCAGACUCCUACGGGAGGCAGCAGUGGGGAAUAUUGGACAAUGGGCGAAAGCCUGAUCCAGCUAUGCCGC